CCUACGGGUGGCAGCAGUGAGGAAUAUUGGUCAAUGGACGCAAGUCUGAACCAGCCAUGCCGCGUGCAGGAAGACGGCCCUAUGAGUUGUAAACUUCUUUUGUACGAGGGUAAACCCAGAUACGCAUAUCUUUCUGUAAGUACCGUACGAAUAAGGAUCGGCUAACUCCGUGCCAGCAGCCGCGGUAAUACGGAGGAUUCAAGCGUUAUCCGGAUUUAUUGGGUUUAAAGGGUGCGUAGGCGGUUGGAUAAGUUAGAUGUGAAAUCCCGAGGCUCAACCUCGGAAUUGCAUCUGAUACUGGUAGGCUAGAGAGUAGUUGCGGUAGGCGGAAUGUAUGGUGUAGCGGUGAAAUGCUUAGAGAUCAUACAGAACACCGAUUGCGAAGGCAGCUUACCAAGCUACUACUGACGUUGAGGCACGAAAGCGUGGGGAGCAAACAGGAUUAGAUACCCUAGUAGUC
Molecule: ribosomal RNA, 460 nt
Filed under: uncultured bacterium
Lineage: Bacteria
Description: partial 16S ribosomal RNA
Rfam family: Bacterial small subunit ribosomal RNA
Source: RNAcentral